GUGAAUCAUCGAAUUUUUGAACGCAAAUUGCACUCUCUGGUAUUCCGGAACGUGUGCCUGUUUGAGGGUAAGAUAAAUCAACAUAGGUGUUGUUACUGCGUUUCGUGGUGACGCGUUGGGAUUGAGUUGUAUUACUUUCGGUUAAGUGGCUUAAAAUUUUGUUUGCUUUUCGACCGAAUUUAAUUUUCUUACGUUACAUUGAGAUAU
This 207-nucleotide unclassified non-coding RNA is filed under the name Glomeraceae sp. Its description in RNAcentral is "partial contains 5.8S ribosomal RNA and internal transcribed spacer 2". The stretch from base 1 to 71 matches the Rfam family "5.8S ribosomal RNA", at positions 84 to 154 of the family's 154-position model. Lineage: Eukaryota; Fungi; Glomeromycota; Glomeromycetes; Glomerales; Glomeraceae. The record is from RNAcentral.